CGAGCGUUGUCCGGAAUCACUGGGCGUAAAGGGCGCGUAGGCGGCCUGAUAAGUAGGGGGUGAAAUCUUGCGGCUUAACCGCAAGGCUGCCUUCUAAACUGUCAGGCUAGAGCACAGUAGAGGCAGGUGGAAUUCCCGGUGUAGCGGUGGAAUGCGUAGAGAUCGGGAAGAACAUCAGUGGCGAAGGCGGCCUGCUGGGCUGUUGCUGACGCUGAGGCGCGACAGCGUGGGGAGCAAACAGG
Molecule: ribosomal RNA, 242 nt
Filed under: uncultured bacterium
Lineage: Bacteria
Description: partial 16S ribosomal RNA
Rfam family: Bacterial small subunit ribosomal RNA
Source: RNAcentral